This 739-nucleotide ribosomal RNA is filed under the name Pantoea dispersa. RNAcentral's name for it is "bacterial SSU rRNA". It matches the Rfam family "Bacterial small subunit ribosomal RNA", at positions 53 to 781 of the family's 1533-position model. Lineage: Bacteria; Pseudomonadati; Pseudomonadota; Gammaproteobacteria; Enterobacterales; Erwiniaceae. The record is from RNAcentral.
ACCAUGCAAGUCGAACGGCAGCACAGAAGAGCUUGCUCUUUGGGUGGCGAGUGGCGGACGGGUGAGUAAUGUCUGGGAAACUGCCCGAUGGAGGGGGAUAACUACUGGAAACGGUAGCUAAUACCGCAUAACGUCGCAAGACCAAAGUGGGGGACCUUCGGGCCUCACACCAUCGGAUGUGCCCAGAUGGGAUUAGCUAGUAGGUGGGGUAAUGGCUCACCUAGGCGACGAUCCCUAGCUGGUCUGAGAGGAUGACCAGCCACACUGGAACUGAGACACGGUCCAGACUCCUACGGGAGGCAGCAGUGGGGAAUAUUGCACAAUGGGCGCAAGCCUGAUGCAGCCAUGCCGCGUGUAUGAAGAAGGCCUUCGGGUUGUAAAGUACUUUCAGCGGGGAGGAAGGCGGUGAGGUUAAUAACCUUGCCGAUUGACGUUACCCGCAGAAGAAGCACCGGCUAACUCCGUGCCAGCAGCCGCGGUAAUACGGAGGGUGCAAGCGUUAAUCGGAAUUACUGGGCGUAAAGCGCACGCAGGCGGUCUGUUAAGUCAGAUGUGAAAUCCCCGGGCUUAACCUGGGAACUGCAUUUGAAACUGGCAGGCUUGAGUCUCGUAGAGGGGGGUAGAAUUCCAGGUGUAGCGGUGAAAUGCGUAGAGAUCUGGAGGAAUACCGGUGGCGAAGGCGGCCCCCUGGACGAAGACUGACGCUCAGGUGCGAAAGCGUGGGGAGCAAACAGGUUAG